Long non-coding RNA from Onychostruthus taczanowskii (white-rumped snowfinch), 407 nucleotides. RefSeq lists it as uncharacterized. The record is from RefSeq and is a predicted model, not a curated record. Lineage: Eukaryota; Metazoa; Chordata; Aves; Passeriformes; Passeridae. The transcript has 3 exons.
GGAACUGCCACUCUGGACUGUUUUGGUCUCUGCUCCUACAGGCAGGCCUGAUGUUAGUCAUCAAUGGGAAAAGCAUUUGACACAGCUGAGUGCAUUUGUCUUCUCCAACAUGCAAACUAGAGACCAGCUAUUUUCUGCUCAGCAUGGAAAGGAAACCGGAGAACUGAGACAGCAACACCCACGUCUGUGAAGCUCCAGGGCAAAUGACUCAUGCUGUUUGCAAGUGCCUAUCCCACUGAGCCUGGCAGUAUCAGUGUGGCUGAAGGUUUCUACUAAAACCUGGGCAGGGAUUUUCUCCUCAUCAAGCUGAGCUCACCAACAUACUGCAGAAACAAAUCGGUAUGUUGUACUUACAUGAAAAUCCAUGCAUUUGCAAUAGUCCAGCACCAAAUCAGUAGAGGAAAAUG